UGAGCCAUGUUCUGAUGAAUUCCAAGCCUCUUUCAAUUGAGAUCUUGAUCCAAGAUGAUAUCACAAGUUGUAUGAACUCUUGAUGAAUGAUCAUGGUGCCCAAAUUCUUCAAGAAUGGUCACCAUUUAGCUCAAUGGCUGAUUUUGACUGUUUGACUGAUGAUUGCUUCAUCUGCAAGAAACAAGGUUAGAUGACAAUAUUUUUGUAC
Molecule: long non-coding RNA, 208 nt
Filed under: Lathyrus oleraceus (garden pea)
Lineage: Eukaryota; Viridiplantae; Streptophyta; Magnoliopsida; Fabales; Fabaceae
Description: Pisum sativum (pea) long non-coding RNA (PSAT_LNC015577)
Source: RNAcentral